GGAUCUGAGGACGACCUGGCUGCGACACCUGUCACCCCACGGAUCACCAGGGUUGAUUCGGCUGAUCUGGCUGGCUAGGCAGGGGUCCCUUCCUCCCUCACCGCUCCAUGGGCAUCCCUCCCAAAGCUGUGGGCUCCAUCAAAGAGGAAGACCUUUCCCAAACAGAAGAGCAUUGGUCUUCAGGCAAGGGUGUGUGAGAAGCUGUGUUCCUCUGCCUUAAAUAAAAACAGGCUUGUGGAGGUGGAAGUCAGGGAUGGAUCCAAGAAUCCUGACCCACUCCAGCAUAAUUUUCUCUAAUCCAUCAAAUUAAUCAUGGUAAAACUGAAACACAUGCAGAGAAAAAAUAUUCU
This 350-nucleotide small nuclear RNA is filed under the name Jaculus jaculus (lesser Egyptian jerboa). Its description in RNAcentral is "7SK RNA (ENSJJAG00000004059.1)". It matches the Rfam family "7SK RNA". From Rfam's summary of the family: 7SK was discovered as an abundant small nuclear RNA in the mid-70s but a possible function has only recently been suggested. Two independent studies have found that 7SK RNA binds the CDK9/cyclin T complex (known as elongation factor P-TEFb). Lineage: Eukaryota; Metazoa; Chordata; Mammalia; Rodentia; Dipodidae. The record is from RNAcentral.